CCAGGAGUUAUUGGACUAAAUUUUUCACUUACCCCAAAAGUCUCAGCUUGGCCGAGUCGGACGCGAUUCCACAAGUUCGCGAGGAGCCACUUCUGGCGGAGGCGAGAGCUGACGUCGUUCGGGCCUAGAAUUGGAAAGAAAAGAAACUUUAAAACGUUGCGGACCAGAAUGCGGAAGUAGUUUCUUGGUAAGCUUUUCCUCUUAUUACUACGUCUUGCACGGGUGUACACUGACCUGCAGCCAGAAUGACGCAGACGGUUUUCCUCGGAAAGGCGACCGGAGUGGGAGGCAGCAGACCUGCCUUAAGUGUCUGUACAUUUUCCAGGCAAUGGGCGAAAUCUUGCAAGGUCUAGACGGAGCAUAAUGAGGCCAAAAUAUUCCGUAAUUUGCAAAAAUUGCGGAAGCAACGAAAAUAGUAAAGGAAACAUUAGCGGCCGAAUGGGGUGAAUUUUUGUGCGAUACGGAUUUCGGUGCCAG
Hermetia illucens (black soldier fly) is the source of this 477-nucleotide long non-coding RNA. RefSeq lists it as uncharacterized. Lineage: Eukaryota; Metazoa; Arthropoda; Insecta; Diptera; Stratiomyidae. The record is from RefSeq and is a predicted model, not a curated record. The transcript is spliced from 3 exons.